GGGUGAGUAACACGUGGAUAACCUACCUAUAAGACUGGGAUAACUUCGGGAAACCGGAGCUAAUACCGGAUAAUAUAUUGAACCGCAUGGUUCAAUAGUGAAAGACGGUUUUGCUGUCACUUAUAGAUGGAUCCGCGCCGCAUUAGCUAGUUGGUAAGGUAACGGCUUACCAAGGCAACGAUGCGUAGCCGACCUGAGAGGGUGAUCGGCCGCACUGGAACUGAGACACGGUCCAG
This 236-nucleotide ribosomal RNA is filed under the name uncultured Staphylococcus sp. RNAcentral's name for it is "partial 16S ribosomal RNA". It matches the Rfam family "Bacterial small subunit ribosomal RNA", at positions 104 to 334 of the family's 1533-position model. The record is from RNAcentral. Lineage: Bacteria; Bacillati; Bacillota; Bacilli; Caryophanales; Staphylococcaceae.